AGCCAAGAUUUCAGGUUACAAGUG
Molecule: non-coding RNA, 24 nt
Filed under: Arabidopsis thaliana (thale cress)
Lineage: Eukaryota; Viridiplantae; Streptophyta; Magnoliopsida; Brassicales; Brassicaceae
Source: RNAcentral